RNAcentral lists this ribosomal RNA (653 nucleotides) under uncultured Actinomycetales bacterium. RNAcentral describes it as "bacterial SSU rRNA". It matches the Rfam family "Bacterial small subunit ribosomal RNA", at positions 66 to 731 of the family's 1533-position model. Lineage: Bacteria; Bacillati; Actinomycetota; Actinomycetes; Actinomycetales. The record is from RNAcentral.
ACGGAAAGGCCCUGCUUGCAGGGUACUCGAGUGGCGAACGGGUGAGUAACACGUGGGUGAUCUGCCCUGCACUUCGGGAUAAGCUUGGGAAACUGGGUCUAAUACCGGAUAGGAGCCAUCUUUAGUGUGGUGGUUGGAAAGUUUUUUCGGUGUAGGAUGAGCUCGCGGCCUAUCAGCUUGUUGGUGGGGUAAUGGCCUACCAAGGCGGCGACGGGUAGCCGGCCUGAGAGGGUGUACGGCCACAUUGGGACUGAGAUACGGCCCAGACUCCUACGGGAGGCAGCAGUGGGGAAUAUUGCACAAUGGGCGCAAGCCUGAUGCAGCGACGCCGCGUGGGGGAUGAAGGCCUUCGGGUUGUAAACUCCUUUCGCUAGGGACGAAGCUUUGUUGUGACGGUACCUAGAUAAGAAGCACCGGCUAACUACGUGCCAGCAGCCGCGGUAAUACGUAGGGUGCGAGCGUUGUCCGGAAUUACUGGGCGUAAAGGGCUCGUAGGUGGUUUGUCGCGUCGUCUGUGAAAUUCUGGGGCUUAACUCCGGGCGUGCAGGCGAUACGGGCAUAACUUGAGUGCUGUAGGGGUAACUGGAAUUCCUGGUGUAGCGGUGAAAUGCGCAGAUAUCAGGAGGAACACCGAUGGCGAAGGCAGGUUACUG